Molecule: ribosomal RNA, 497 nt
Filed under: uncultured bacterium
Lineage: Bacteria
Description: partial 16S ribosomal RNA
Rfam family: Bacterial small subunit ribosomal RNA
Source: RNAcentral
GAUGAACGCUGGCGGCGUGCCUAAUACAUGCAAGUCGAGCGAACGGACGAGAAGCUUGCUUCUCUGAUGUUAGCGGCGGACGGGUGAGUAACACGUGGAUAACCUACCUAUAAGACUGGGAUAACUUCGGGAAACCGGAGCUAAUACCGGAUAAUAUUUUGAACCGCAUGGUUCAAAAGUGAAAGACGGUCUUGCUGUCACUUAUAGAUGGAUCCGCGCUGCAUUAGCUAGUUGGUAAGGUAACGGCUUACCAAGGCAACGAUGCAUAGCCGACCUGAGAGGGUGAUCGGCCACACAGGAACUGAGAAACGGUCCAGACUCCUACGGGAGGCAGCGGUAGGGAAUCUUCCGCAAUGGGCGAAAGCCUGACGGAGCAACGCCGCGUGAGUGAUGAAGGGCUGCGGAUCGUAAAACUCUGUUAUGAGGGAAGAACAUAUGUGUAAGUAACUAUGCACAUCUUGACGGUACCUAAUCAGAAAGCCACGGCUAACUACGUG